GCACGCCUCCCCUGCUUCUUUCCCUUUCUCCUAUUUUCUUCUUUCUCUCCACUUUUCGGAUACGCACGCCCCCCCUGCUUUCCUUCUCCUCUCUUCAUCUUUCUUUCUCUCCCUCUCUUCUCUGUUUCCCUGACUCCCAUCUCUCCCUUCCUUUCUUCUAUCACGCACGCCUGAGACACGGAGAGCCCGUGAGAGAGAACCGGUAAGAGUGACCCAGCCGUGAGAGUUCUAGAUUGUGAUGGAGAGGUUGUAAUGCAGAGAACCCGAGUGCGUGGAAGCGGAUCCUUGGCCGUGGUGGUACGGUUUCUGAACUGUGGUGGUCGGACCACCGUUGUACCAUGGAGGCAGUGGCUGGAGCAAGGGAUUUUGGCCCUGUUUUGGCACGUGCCGUGAUUGGAGACUUCAACGUGUUCUCCAACCUAGAGUUCAAGUAACUAGAACACGGGGGAAAUGUUUGAGUCAAGAGUCCGAUGCAGUCAAGAUGUUCCUUUGGCUGCAGGUACUCCGGUCAUAGGGGAGAGUGUUGUAGAUGUGCACUUGGGAUAAUAUGACUGAAGCUCGCCGCGACGGUCGUAAUGGUUGGACCACAGUUGUCCACUAUUUUAUAGGUUUUGUUUAUGGCUAGUGACGCUUUAGUCACUUGUUAUUGUAUAAGUCAUUCAUGUUGUUUAAAUAUUAUGUUGAUAGGACUUAAACAUAUAGAUGUUAAAUGGCUCUGUAUUGUAAAUAAUUUGUAAUAGAUGUAUAAGCUAUGCUUUUAGCUAUUCAGGUUUAUGUUUCCGCUGCA
Alnus glutinosa is the source of this 787-nucleotide long non-coding RNA. RefSeq lists it as uncharacterized. The transcript has 3 exons. The record is from RefSeq and is a predicted model, not a curated record. Lineage: Eukaryota; Viridiplantae; Streptophyta; Magnoliopsida; Fagales; Betulaceae.